This 472-nucleotide ribosomal RNA is filed under the name uncultured bacterium. RNAcentral describes it as "partial 16S ribosomal RNA". It matches the Rfam family "Bacterial small subunit ribosomal RNA", at positions 28 to 523 of the family's 1533-position model. The record is from RNAcentral.
GACGAACGCUGGCGGCGUGCUUAACACAUGCAAGUCGAACGGGAGUAUUGAAGAAGCUUGCUUUAGAGAUACUUUAGUGGCGGACGGGUGAGUAACGCGUGAGGAGCUGUCCUAUGCAGGGGGACAACAGUUGGAAACGACUGCUAAUACCCCAUAAGCCGAGAGGUAAAAGGAUUUAUCCGGCAAUGGAGGUACUCGCGUCCUAUCAGCUAGUAGGGGAGGUAACGGCUCACCUAGGCGAAGACGGGUAGCCGGCCUGAGAGGGCGAACGGCCACACUGGAACUGAGAUACGGUCCAGACUCCUACGGGAGGCAGCAGUGGGGAAUAUUGGGCAAUGGGGGGAACCCUGACCCAGCGACGCCGCGUGGGUGAAGAAAUCCUUCGGGAUGUAAAGCCCUGUUGUAUGGGAAGAGCGGAAGACGGUACCAUACGAGGAAGCCCCGGCAAACUACGUGCCAGCCGCCGCAGUAA